RNAcentral lists this ribosomal RNA (253 nucleotides) under uncultured bacterium. RNAcentral describes it as "partial 16S ribosomal RNA". It matches the Rfam family "Bacterial small subunit ribosomal RNA", at positions 524 to 776 of the family's 1533-position model. The record is from RNAcentral.
UACGAAGGGAGCUAGCGUUGUUCGGAAUUACUGGGCGUAAAGGGCGCGUAGGCGGGAUGGCAAGUCGGUCGUGAAAUCCUUCGGCUCAACCGAAGAACGUCGAUCGAUACUGCUGUUCUUGAGGGUUGCAGAGGAGACUGGAAUUCCCGGUGUAGCGGUGAAAUGUGUAGAGAUCGGGAGGAACACCGGUGGCGAAGGCGGGUCUCUGGGCAAUUCCUGACGCUGAGGCGCGAAAGCGUGGGGAGCAAACGGG